This 412-nucleotide ribosomal RNA is filed under the name uncultured prokaryote. Its description in RNAcentral is "bacterial SSU rRNA". It matches the Rfam family "Bacterial small subunit ribosomal RNA", at positions 505 to 918 of the family's 1533-position model. The record is from RNAcentral.
GUGUCAGCCGCCGCGGUAAAACGUAGGAUGCGAGCGUUAUCCGGAGUUACUGGGCGUAAAGGGCGGGCAGGCGGCCUGUUAAGUCGGACGUGAAAGCUCCCGGCUCAACCGGGAGAGGCCGUUCGAGACUGGCGGGCUAGAGGGCAGCAGAGGGGCGUGGAAUUCCGGGUGGAGUGGUGAAAUGCGCAGAGAUCCGGAGGAACACCAGAGGCGAAGGCGGCGCGCUGGGCUGACCCUGACGCUGAGCCGCGAAAGCGUGGGGAGCGAACGGGAUUAGAAACCCCGGUAGUCCACGCCGUAAACGAUGUCGACCAGGUGUUGGGGCGAAAGGCUUCAGCGCCGAAGCUAACGCGAUAAGUCGACCGCCUGGGGAGUACGGCCGCAAGGCUAAAACUCAAAGGAAUUGACGGGG